This is a long non-coding RNA of Herpailurus yagouaroundi (jaguarundi), 1409 nucleotides long. RefSeq lists it as uncharacterized. The transcript has 2 exons. NCBI's taxonomy places the organism in Eukaryota, Metazoa, Chordata, Mammalia, Carnivora, Felidae. The record is from RefSeq and is a predicted model, not a curated record.
AAAAAGAAAAGAAAAGAAAAGAAAGGAAAGGAAAGGAAAGGAAAGGAAAGGAAAGGAAAGGAAAAGGAAAAGGAAAAGGAAAGAGAAAGUUGGGGCCUUUAUGAAAAGGUGUUAAGAAAAAUGAAAAAUAACUACGUACAACUGCAAUAUGAAACCCAAGAUUAGUAUUAAAUAUAUUUUGCUCAGGGUUGCACACUGAAUUAAUUGCUAUUGUGGAUAAAUAUCAGAGUUUCUGGUUUUUUCAUUACAAGGUGAAGUUACUAGAUGGGGACACAGUCCACCCUGACCAGUCAUAAACUAUAAACUGAAAAAUCAAACAGGCAUUUCCAAACAUUUCUGAACAGGACCUUCCUUGAUAUACAGAUGACUGACUCUUAAAUACAUAUAAAAUGAAGAAAGUGGGACUGUCAUACUGUUAUGUGGAAAUUCUACUGGCAAAAAAUUGAGUAAUAAUAUUUUGCUAUCUGUAUUAUGACUAAAACAUUUAUUUCUUUUCGUAUGCACACAAAGAUUUCAGAAAAUCUCUUUGAAGAAAGGAAAAAUAGAGGGUUACAACAGUUUUCAAACUUAGCUUCUGAUUUAUAACUUUCUCAAUUAGAGUUAAGGAAAACAAUAUACAAUUUUCAAUUGUAACUUUGUUUCCUUUGUCCAAAUUAGGACCAAGUUUGGAAACACUUGACUUAUUAAAGUUAUGGUUAUCUACUUACUUAUGAAAUGUGUACGAAUAUUUCCAACUACAGGUGACCCUUGAAUAACACAGGGGUUGGGGUGCAGUCAAAAACCUGCAUAUGAGUUUUCAUCCCCCAAAACUUAAUUACUAAUAGCCUACUGUUGACCGGAAGCCUUACCGGUAACAUAAACAGUCGAUUCGUACAUAUUUUGUGCAGUAGAAUAAGCCAGGGCAAAAAAAAUGACAUUGAGAAAAACAGAAGGAAUAGGAAAUACACUUACAGUACUAUACAGUAUCCAAAAAUAAUCCAUGUGUAAGUAAAGUAGACGCGCACAGUUCGAAACCAUGUUGGUCAAGGGUCAACUGUAUAUUACAACUGUUCCUGUCUAGAAUGUUCUUAUUUAGAUCUUUCUUAUACAAGGUAGCCUCUCCCUGAAUGCCCCAAACGGGCUCCAAAAUAGUGUACUGAACAUAAUCAACACUGGUGAUAAGGAUUCCAAUGUCUUUACAAAUGUAGGUGUGAGGACAAAUGUUUUGGCUGACAUGUUUCCCAAUAUUUUCAGAGACUGUUUUCCCUAAUACCUUUUUUUAAUUGAGGUAUAGUUGACAGACAAUGUUACACGAAUUUCAGGAUACAAAUUCAGAUUGGACAAUUGUAGACACUAUGCUAUGCUCACUACCGUACGUGUAGUUACUCUCUGUCACCAUACAACAUUAAUACAAUAUUACUGAUGAUAUU